This 253-nucleotide ribosomal RNA is filed under the name uncultured bacterium. RNAcentral's name for it is "partial 16S ribosomal RNA". It matches the Rfam family "Bacterial small subunit ribosomal RNA", at positions 524 to 776 of the family's 1533-position model. The record is from RNAcentral.
UACGUAUGGGGCAAGCGUUGUCCGGAUUUAUUGGGCGUAAAGAGCGUGUAGGCGGCUUUGCAAGUCCGUUGUGAAAACUCGAGGCUCAACCUCGAGACGCCGGUGGAAACUGCAAAGCUAGAGUCCGGAAGAGGAGAGUGGAAUUCCCGGUGUAGCGGUGAAAUGCGCAGAUAUCGGGAAGAACACCCGUGGCGAAGGCGGCUCUCUGGGACGGUACUGACGCUGAGACGCGAAAGCGUGGGGAGCGAACAGG